This is a non-coding RNA of Caenorhabditis elegans, 21 nucleotides long. Lineage: Eukaryota; Metazoa; Nematoda; Chromadorea; Rhabditida; Rhabditidae. The record is from Ensembl.
AUGAAGUUUUCAACCUACAUA